RNAcentral lists this unclassified non-coding RNA (305 nucleotides) under Hevea brasiliensis (rubber tree). Lineage: Eukaryota; Viridiplantae; Streptophyta; Magnoliopsida; Malpighiales; Euphorbiaceae. The record is from RNAcentral.
UUACUGAAAAAUCAGGAAUACAACUCGAAUAGGGGCAUUAUGGUCAAUUGACACCCUGAGAUGCCUUUUGACCUAAAUGACCACUAAAAAUAAGUGACAUUAAAGUUGAAAAACUUCAUGAAAAAUGAAAUUGUAAAUGAAAUAUAUAAAUAAGGAAAAUUAGGGGGUAAGAAUUGGAAUAAUUGAAAGUUGAAUUAAACUAAUGUUAUUUCUACAUUAGUGGACCACUAAGCACUUUGUAAAUCAAUUAAAAAUCUGUCAUCUUCCACUAACUUCUGCAAAGCCAUCUUCUUCCUCAAACUCUC